GGCGGUCUCUACUUAGGGCGCGAUGCCCUUACCGCGAUCAUCUACCGGCUCGCUCGGUCCCGGCUCUGUGGAAAUAGUGGGGUGAGAACUACAACAAAGUUUCCAAUGGGUUCGGCAACCAACCACGCCGACUAUCCCACUAGGUCUAAUCAGGCAUAAUAGAAGAAAGAAUAGAUAAUAACUAACUAACAAAUGCAGCUAAUAUGCCUGAACGAUAAAUGAAACUAUGCUCGAUAGAAUGCUCAUGAUGAAUGCAAGAUUAACUUUUCAUUACCCAAUCUCAUGGCUAGCCCGUAGGUUUCGCCCUCACAAACUCACCAACCCAAAUCCCUAUUAUCGGGGAGAUAACCGCUACGACCCGACGGGACCGCCCUCUGGGGAGAUAACCGCUACGACCCAGUGAUGACAACUUCGGAGCACAUCGCCCGAGGGGGAGCUACCGCCCUCGAGCAAG
This 454-nucleotide long non-coding RNA is filed under the name Ananas comosus (pineapple). RNAcentral describes it as "long non-coding RNA (ACOM_LNC042909)". The record is from RNAcentral. Lineage: Eukaryota; Viridiplantae; Streptophyta; Magnoliopsida; Poales; Bromeliaceae.